This 1419-nucleotide ribosomal RNA is filed under the name Thraustochytrium sp. TR1.4. Its description in RNAcentral is "partial 18S ribosomal RNA". It matches the Rfam family "Eukaryotic small subunit ribosomal RNA", at positions 1 to 1501 of the family's 1831-position model. The record is from RNAcentral. Lineage: Eukaryota; Bigyra; Thraustochytrida; Thraustochytriidae.
UUUUAGUCAUAUGCUUGUUUCAAAGAUUAAGCCAUGCAUGUGUAAGUAUAAGCGAUUGUACUGUGAGACUGCGAACGGCUCAUUAUAUCAGUAAUAAUUUCUUCGGUAGUUUCUUUUAUAUGGAUACCUGCAGUAAUUCUGGAAAUAAUACAUGCUGUAAGAGCCCUGUAUGGGGCUGCACUUAUUAGAUUGAAGCCGAUUUUAUUGGUGAAUCAUGAUAAUUGAGCAGAUUGACUUUUUUAGUCAAUGAAUCGUUUGAGUUUCUGCCCCAUCAGUUGUCGACGGUAGUGUAUUGGACUACGGGGACUAUAACGGGGGACGGAAAGUUAGGGCUCGACUCCGGAAAGGGAGCCUGAAAAACGGCUACCAUAUCCAAGGAUAGCAGCAGGCGCGUAAAUUACCCACUGGGGACUCCACGAGGUAGUGACAAAAAAUAUCGAUGCGAAGCGUGUAUGCGUUUUGCUAUCGGAAUGAAAGCAAAGUAAAACCCUCAUCGAGGAUCAACUGGAGGGCAAGUCUGGUGCCAGCACCCGCGGUAAUUCCAGCUCCAAAAGCAUAUGCUAAAGUUGUUGCAGUUAAAAAGCUCGUAGUUGAAUUUCUGGCAUGGGCGACCGGGGCUUUCCCUGAAUGGGGAUUGAUUGUCUGUGUUGCCUUGGCCAUCUUUUUCUUUCCUUUUUGGGGAAAAAACCUUUCACUGUAAUCAAAGCAAAGGGUUCCAAGCAGGUCGAAUAACCGGUAGGUUUAUUAUGGGAGGAAAAAAUAGGACUUGGGGGCUAUUUUGUUGGUUUGCACCCCUGAAUAAUGGUUAAUAGGAACAGUUGGGGGAAUUCGAAUUUAGGACCUAGAGGGAAAAUUCUUGGAUUUCCGAAAGACGAACUAGAGCGAAGGCAUUUACCAAGCAUGUUUUCAUUAAUCAAGAACGAAAGUCUGGGGAUCGAAGAUGAUUAGAUACCAUCGUAGUCUAGACCGUAAACGAUGCCGACUUGCGAUUGUUGGGUGCUUUAUUAUAGGGCCCUCACCCACCCCACAUGAAAAAUCAAACUCUUGGGUCCCCGGGGAGAAUAGGCCCACAGGGCAAACUCUAAAGAAAUUUGACAAAGGGGCCCCCCCGGGAGGGGACCCUGCGUUUAAUUUACACUCCACACGAAAAAUCUUCCCGGGCCCACACAUAGAUAAAAUAGACAAAUUGAGAUCUCUUUCGAGACUCUAGGGGGGGGGGCGCGGGCCCUCUCUUAUUGGGGGGAGAGAUUUCUCGGUUAAAUCCCUAAAACAAACGACCCCUCGCCCCACUAUAUAGCGCGGGAUAGGAAAACAUAGUACGUUUUAACCUUUUAAAGGAACUUUCCGGUUUUCCGGGCGAAAAUUUCGAGGAAAACACGGGUUUGGAACCCCCUUAAGUUUUUGGGCCCCCCCCCCCCC